Molecule: ribosomal RNA, 449 nt
Filed under: uncultured bacterium
Lineage: Bacteria
Description: partial 16S ribosomal RNA
Rfam family: Bacterial small subunit ribosomal RNA
Source: RNAcentral
UCCCAGACUCCUACGGGAGGCAGCAGUGGGGGAUAUUGCACAAUGGGGGGAACCCUGAUGCAGCGACGCCGCGUGGGUGAAGGAGCGUUUCGGCGCGUAAAGCCCUAUCGGCAGGGAAGAAGGAGGACGGUACCUGACUAAGAAGCCCCGGCUAACUACGUGCCAGCAGCCGCGGUAAUACGUAGGGGGCAAGCGUUAUCCGGAUUUACUGGGUGUAAAGGGGGCGCAGACGGCAGCGCAAGCCAGGAGUGAAAGCCCGGGGCCCAACCCCGGGCAUGCAUUGGAAACUGGCGGGCUGGAGUGCCGGAGAGGUAAGCGGAAUUCCUAGUGUAGCGGUGAAAUGCGUAGAUAUUAGGAGGAACACCAGUGGCGAAGGCGGCUUACUGGACGGCAACUGACGCUGAGGCUCGAAAGCGUGGGGAGCAAACAGGAUUAGAUACCCGGGUAAC